Molecule: ribosomal RNA, 727 nt
Filed under: uncultured bacterium
Lineage: Bacteria
Description: bacterial SSU rRNA
Rfam family: Bacterial small subunit ribosomal RNA
Source: RNAcentral
AGAGUUUGAUCAUGGCUCAGGACGAACGCUGGCGGCGUGCUUAACACAUGCAAGUCGAACGAUGAAGGAGGAGCUUGCUCCUCCGGAUUAGUGGCGAACGGGUGAGUAAUACGUGAGCAAUGUGCCCUUGACUCUGGGAUAAGCGCUGGAAACGGCGUCUAAUACCGGAUACGACCAUCGGAGGCAUCUCCUGGUGGUGGAAAGAACUUCGGUCAAGGAUCAGCUCACGGCCUAUCAGCUUGUUGGUGAGGUAAUGGCUCACCAAGGCGACGACGGGUAGCCGGCCUGAGAGGGUGACCGGCCACACUGGGACUGAGACACGGCCCAGACUCCUACGGGAGGCAGCAGUGGGGAAUAUUGCACAAUGGGCGCAAGCCUGAUGCAGCAACGCCGCGUGAGGGACGAAGGCCUUCGGGUUGUAAACCUCUUUUAGCAGGGAAGAAGCGAAAGUGACGGUACCUGCAGAAAAAGCACCGGCUAACUACGUGCCAGCAGCCGCGGUAAUACGUAGGGUGCAAGCGUUGUCCGGAAUUAUUGGGCGUAAAGAGCUCGUAGGCGGUUUGUCACGUCUGCUGUGAAAACCCGAGGCUCAACCUCGGGCUUGCAGUGGGUACGGGCAGACUAGAGUGCGGUAGGUGAGAUUGGAAUUCCUGGUGUAGCGGUGGAAUGCGCAGAUAUCAGGAGGAACACCGAUGGCGAAGGCAGAUCUCUGGGCCGUAACUGACGC